RNAcentral lists this long non-coding RNA (1306 nucleotides) under Coturnix japonica (Japanese quail). RNAcentral's name for it is "lncRNA (ENSCJPG00005007063.1)". The record is from RNAcentral. Lineage: Eukaryota; Metazoa; Chordata; Aves; Galliformes; Phasianidae.
GCAUUGUUAUUACAGAUACACUGUUUUCUCUAUCAAAAGACUUGUGCUGGCAAGAGCUGGUAAUAAAGCUUCCAUUGUGUCAUGGAAAACAGUCUUUACUGUGUUCCAGCCAACAUUGCUCUCUCCCACAGUCUUUAAGGAACUCAACAUGGUUCAAAUUGAGAUCUCCUUCUAACAUACGUCCCUGACAAAACCAGACUUUUUCAUCAAUUCUUGAUGUAUUUUGAGGCAUAUGUGGCAGCAUUUUCUGAAACUGUUUUCGUGAUCUAAAUAAAAGCUACUGUUAACAAAAGCUGUGCUAUAGUUUUAGGAUUGGUGGAAAUGCAUUUUAGUAUAAUUUGCUUCAAAACCAGCUCAUAUUUGAUCAAGAAUCACCUGUAUGAUACUACAGGAAGAAGGGCUCCCAGAUGAUAAUGAAACAGAAGUGGUUUACUGUACAUUAACAUAUUCAUCAAAACAAUUACACUGAAUUGAGUGUAAAAGGAAGAGAGAAAUCUAUUAGCACAAAGCAUGUGGAGAGAAACAUUUCCUCCCAGCUCACAUGGGUUAUUUUUGUCUUUUCCAGAUUAUUGGCAAGUCUCAUGGUGAUUUCCAUCUAGAGUUUACAGCGGCUGCCCCAGAAACAGUCACCCAGGAAAGUCUGUGGCUACAGAAACUACCCACAACACCUGGACCACAGCAGAAUUUCCCUGAUGACAAAAGCAUUGCUUGCUGCUAAGAGAUAAUUUUGAUGCAAAAUACAGAGCAGGAUACCUGUAAAUCACUUCUGAGGAGGACUAUGGCCCCAGAGCUCAUAGCAUUUCCUGACUACAUACGGUUUCAGAACAGUUUAAUUCAGUGUAUGUCUACAUUUCCACUGCAUGUCCCUCAAAUGGUUAACACCACAGAAAGAAAAAGGAAAACAAGGAAAAAGAAGAAAGUACUGCAGUUAGCGGAGUGAAGAAACUCUUGAAACACUGUUGUCUGAAACAAAAGCAAGGCACUCUCCCUUAACACCUGAUAUAUUCCUGAUUUCUGCCUAGACAAAGGCAUGUUCACACUGAGAGAGCUGUGAGGAAGGUAGGAGAUUUAUUCUGCAUUUAUUCUUCUUUCACCAUCGUGACCUGUCACUGGCUGCACUCUACGAUGGGUCUGUGCACUGGAGUUGAAAUGAAGGACGGUUCGGUAGGUGACAGGAAUGGGAGAGUAUCACAGUUAAGACUAUCCAUGGAAGACUGAAGCACACCGGCUACAUGAAAUCUCACGUGGGGCUCUGGACCUGCUCCCUCCGUUCACAUCCCACUGAAUAAAUAAACCUCGCUCAACA